UACGGAGGGUGCAAGCGUUUGUCCGGAUUUAUUGGGUUUAAAGGGUGCGCAGGUGGGUAUUUAAGUCUGGUUUGAAAGCAGGUGGCUCAACCAUCUGAUGUGGCUGGAAACUGGAUAUCUUGAAUGGGUUGGCGGUAGCCGGAAUGGGUCAUGUAGCGGUGAAAUGCAUAGAUAUGACCCGGAACACCGAUUGCGAAGGCAGGCUACUACGACUUGAUUGACACUGAGGCACGAGAGCAUGGGUAGCGAACAGG
RNAcentral lists this ribosomal RNA (254 nucleotides) under uncultured bacterium. Its description in RNAcentral is "partial 16S ribosomal RNA". It matches the Rfam family "Bacterial small subunit ribosomal RNA", at positions 524 to 776 of the family's 1533-position model. The record is from RNAcentral.